Molecule: long non-coding RNA, 175 nt
Organism: Symphalangus syndactylus (siamang)
Lineage: Eukaryota; Metazoa; Chordata; Mammalia; Primates; Hylobatidae
Source: RefSeq, a predicted model, not a curated record
GUUACUUCCAAGAAAAACUAUUCAGGAUUUCCAAGUAAUGAAGAAUCAAGCUAGUUUGUAAUCUCCUCAAAGAAAGAAACAUUUUCAUUUCUACAUGACCAGCAGCUAUCACAGGGGCUAGCACACAGCUCUGGAUUUUCAAGAUUGAAAAAAAUACUAUUUGUCAAAGCCAGCC